UUUUUUUUUUUUUUUGGUCUUUUUGUCUUUGUUGUUGUUGUUGUUGUUGCUAUUUCUUGGGCCGCUCCCGUGGCAUAUGGAGGUUCCCAGGCUAGGGGUCGAAUCGGAGCUGUAGCCUCUGGUCUACGCCAGAGCCACAGCAACGCGGGAUCCGAGCCGUGUCUGCAACCUACACCACAGCUCACGGCAACGCCGGAUCGUUAACCCACUGAGCAAGGGCAGGGACCGAACCCGCAACCUCAUGGUUCCUAGUCGGAUUCGUUAACCACUGCGCCACGACGGGAACUCCCAGAUUUUUUUUUUUUUUUAAUGGCUGCACUUGUGGCAUAUUCCCAGGCUAGGGUUGAAUCAGAGCUGCAGCUGCUGGCCUACACCACAGCAAUGUCAGAUCGGAGCCACAUCUGAGACCUAUGCCACAGCUCAUGGCAAUGCCAGAUUCUUCAACACACGGAGCAAGGCCAGGUAUCGAACCUGCGUCCUCUUGGAUACUAGUCUGGUUCAUUACUGCUGAGCCGCAAUGGGAACUCCCUAGAUUACCUUUUUUUUAGCGUGUUGGUGGGAGGUGAUCUCCAUGUCCCACUCUUCCACUGUCUUGAUCUCGCCUCAAUUAUGUUUUUAUUAUUUCUUUACCUACUUUUAUGCUCUAAUUAUUGCAUAUCAAAAAUUAUAAUAAAAAUAUGUUCAUCAAUACUUUACAGGAACUUUUAGUCUUUAGAUAAGGUUUGUUACACAAUUAUUUAUCUUUUGUGUAUUUAAUAUUACUAUUAUUAGCCACGUGCAUGGCUUAUGGAAGUUCCCAGGCUAGGGACUGAAUUAGAGGCACAGCUCUGACUUACAGCAGAGCUGUGACAAUGCUGGAUCCUUAACCCACUGUGCUGGGCUGGGGAUUGACCCUGCGCCUCAGCAGCAACCAGAGCCACCACAGAGACAACCCUGGAUACUUAACCAGCCACACCACGGUGGGGAUGAUGUUUUGUGUAGUUUUGUUUUGUUUUGUUUGCCCCCCAGCAUAUGGACUUAGAUGGAUCCUUUAACCCACUGUGCCAGGUUGGGGAUCAAACCUGCAUCCUGGUGCUGCAGAGGUGCUGCUGAUCCUGUUGAGCCACAUGGCUUGGAUCAGCAAGGGUCUGCACCUGGGACUGGCACAGUGGGUUAAAGGAUCCAGCAUUGCAGCAGCUGCCACAUGCUUCAGCUGUGGCUUGGAAUUGAUCCCUGGUCUAGGAACCUCCAUAUGCCUCAGGUGUGGCCAUAAAAAAAGUGUUGGAGUUCCUGCAGUGGCUCAAUAGGAUUGGCCGUGUGUGUCUGAAGCACUAGGAUGCCAGUUCAAUCCCUGGCGCAGUAGGUUGAUGACUUGGCGUUGCUGCAGUCGUGGUGUAGGUCGCAGCUGUGGCUCAGAUCUGAUCCCUGGCCCAGGAACUCCAUGUGCCACGGGGUGGCCGUAAAAGAAAAAAAAUGUUGAUCAACAUUUUCUAGGCACUUUUAUUCCUUAAAUUUUUUUUCAUCAGAGAAUUAUUUAUCUUUUGUGUAUUUCAUUAUUACUAUCACUGUGAGGUAAUCAGCUGUUCAUGUUUUGGGAGAGGGUCUUUCAGAUAUAAAUACAAGCAUUCAAGCACUUCAGUAAAUACAUGCACAUCUUUUCAAGUUAGUGUUUUCAUCUCCUCCAAAUGAAUACCUAGAAGCAGAAUUGCUGGAUCAUGUUAGCGCUGUUUUUAAUUUUCUGAGGACCCUCCAUGCCAUUUUUUAUACUGGCUGUACCAACAGUACACAAACGUUCCCUUUUUCCAGAUCCCUGCCAACCCUGUUAACAGUUAUUUUUGUCUUUUUGGUAACAGCCAUUCCAGCCAGUGUGAGGUGACACCUCGUUGAGGCUUGGAUUUCUGUUUACCUGAUUAGUGGUGGUGAAUACCAUUUCAUGUACCUGCAGCUGUGUCUUCCUUGGAAAAAUGUCUUAUUCAGAACCCUGUCCAUUUCUAACUGUUUUGGUUUUUUGCUACUGAGUUACAUGAGUUCUUUACAUAUUUUGGAUCUUAAUCCCUUAUGAGACAUAUAGUUUGCAAAUAUUUGUUGAUCAAUAUUUUCUAGGCACUUCAACUCCUUAGAUUAAGUUUUUGUCAGAGAAUUAUUUUUUUGUGUAUUUUAUUAUUUUUUUGGCUGCGCCUGCAGCACAUGGAAGUUCCCAGGCCAGGGAUCAAACUCAAGCCACAGCUGUGACAACACUACAUUCUUUAACCCACUGAGCCAGGCCAGAUAUCGAACCUGGGCCUCAGCAGUGACCUGAGC
This 2280-nucleotide long non-coding RNA is filed under the name Sus scrofa (pig). RNAcentral's name for it is "lncRNA (ENSSSCG00040049420.1)". The record is from RNAcentral. Lineage: Eukaryota; Metazoa; Chordata; Mammalia; Artiodactyla; Suidae.